This 253-nucleotide ribosomal RNA is filed under the name uncultured bacterium. RNAcentral describes it as "partial 16S ribosomal RNA". It matches the Rfam family "Bacterial small subunit ribosomal RNA", at positions 524 to 776 of the family's 1533-position model. The record is from RNAcentral.
GACGAACCGAGCGAACGUUAUUCGGAAUCACUGGGCUUAAAGGGCGCGUAGGCGGACGACCAAGUCAGGUGUGAAAGCCCCCGGCUCAACCGGGGAAGUGCCUUUGAUACUGGUCGUCUCGAGGGAGGUAGGGGCGUGCGGAACUUCCGGUGGAGCGGUGAAAUGCGUAGAUAUCGGAAGGAACACCGGUGGCGAAAGCGGCGCGCUGGACCUCUUCUGACGCUGAGGCGCGAAAGCCAGGGGAGCGAACGGG